AGGACGAACGCUGGCGGCGUGCCUAACACAUGCAAGUCGAACGAAGCACUUCACUCGGAGAUUCGUCGAAGAGUGAUUUGACUUAGUGGCGGACGGGUGAGUAAUGCGUGAGCAACCUGCCCUUCAGAGGGGACAACAGUUGGAAACGACUGCUAAUACCGCAUAACAUCAUCGGGAGGCAUCUCCCGGUGAUCAAAGAUUUAUCGCUGAAGGAUGGGCUCACGUCUGAUUAGCUGGUUGGUGGGGUAACGGCCCACCAAGGCUGCGAUCAGUAGCCGGACUGAGAGGUUGAACGGCCACAUUGGGACUGAGAUACGGCCCAGACUCCUACGGGAGGCAGCAGUGGGGAAUAUUGGGCAAUGGGCGAAAGCCUGACCCAGCAACGCCGCGUGAAGGAAGAAGGCCUUCGGGUUGUAAACUUCUUUUAUGAGGGACGAAGGACGUGACGGUACCUCAUGAAUAAGCCACGGCUAACUACGUGCC
Molecule: ribosomal RNA, 483 nt
Filed under: uncultured organism
Description: SSU rRNA
Rfam family: Bacterial small subunit ribosomal RNA
Source: RNAcentral